AUUGAACGCUGGCGGCAUGCCUUACACAUGCAAGUCGAACGGUAACAGCACUUCGGUGGCUGACGAGUGGCGAACGGGUGAGUAAUACAUCGGAACGUGCCCGAGAGUGGGGGAUAACGCAGCGAAAGCUGUGCUAAUACCGCAUACGAUCUACGGAUGAAAGCAGGGGAUUCGCAAGGACCUUGCGCUCAUGGAGCGGCCGAUGGCAGAUUAGGUAGUUGGUGGGAUAAAAGCUUACCAAGCCGACGAUCUGUAGCUGGUCUGAGAGGACGACCAGCCACACUGGGACUGAGACACGGCCCAGACUCCUACGGGAGGCAGCAGU
Molecule: ribosomal RNA, 325 nt
Filed under: uncultured bacterium
Lineage: Bacteria
Description: bacterial SSU rRNA
Rfam family: Bacterial small subunit ribosomal RNA
Source: RNAcentral